GACGAACGCUGGCGGCGUGCCUAAUACAUGCAAGUCGAACGAACCGCGACUGAGUGCUUGCACUUGGUCAAGGUGAGUGGCGAACGGGUGAGUAACACGUGGGUAACCUACCUCAUAGUGGGGGAUAACAGUCGGAAACGACUGCUAAUACCGCAUAGGACAUGGAAUCACAUGAUUCUGUGAGGAAAGGUGGCGCAAGCUAUCGCUAAGAGAUGGACCCGCGGUGCAUUAGCUAGUUGGUAGGGUAAGGGCCUACCAAGGCGAUGAUGCAUAGCCGACCUGAGAGGGUGAUCGGCCACAUUGGGACUGAGACACGGCCCAAACUCCUACGGGAGGCAGCAGUAGGGAAUCUUCCGCAAUGGACGCAGGUCUGACGGAGCAACGCCGCGUGAGUGAAGAAGGUCUUCGGAUCGUAAAGCUCUGUUGUUAGAGAAGAACAGCGCAUAGAGUAACUGUUAUGCGUGUGACGGUAUCUAACCAGAAAGCCACGGCUAACUACGUG
Molecule: ribosomal RNA, 502 nt
Filed under: uncultured bacterium
Lineage: Bacteria
Description: partial 16S ribosomal RNA
Rfam family: Bacterial small subunit ribosomal RNA
Source: RNAcentral